RNAcentral lists this ribosomal RNA (206 nucleotides) under Candidatus Caccomonas pullistercoris. Its description in RNAcentral is "partial 16S ribosomal RNA". It matches the Rfam family "Bacterial small subunit ribosomal RNA", at positions 1 to 194 of the family's 1533-position model. Lineage: Bacteria; Pseudomonadati; Bacteroidota; Bacteroidia; Bacteroidales; Prevotellaceae. The record is from RNAcentral.
AGGAUGAAGAGUUUGAUCCUGGCUCAGGAUGAACGCUAGCUACAGGCUUAACACAUGCAAGUCGAGGGGCAGCAUGUGGGCGGGCUUGCCCGCCCAUGAUGGCGACCGGCGCACGGGUGAGUAACGCGUAUCCGACCUGCCGCACACUCCGGGAUAGCCUUGCGAAAGCAAGUUUAAUACCGGAUGCCGUCGAGAUGCCGCAUGGU